This is a small nucleolar RNA of Lactuca sativa (garden lettuce), 126 nucleotides long. RefSeq annotates it as small nucleolar RNA snoR111. The record is from RefSeq and is a predicted model, not a curated record. Lineage: Eukaryota; Viridiplantae; Streptophyta; Magnoliopsida; Asterales; Asteraceae.
AUACUUUUGAGUGACAUUCAUCAAUUGUCUCUUCAUUUUCACAACUGAAGGAUAAAGUAAAGAAGGCAAGAUAUCGUUUCAGUCAUCAUUAUUUCGAUUGAUGAUCUGAUUGUUGCUUGUCCACAA